RNAcentral lists this unclassified non-coding RNA (386 nucleotides) under uncultured bacterium. RNAcentral describes it as "contains 16S-23S intergenic spacer region". The record is from RNAcentral.
UCCAGUUCAUCACCGGCAGUCUCCUUAGAGUGCUCCGACCCUGCGGCCGGUUAGCAACUAAGAACGAGGGUUGCGCUCGUUGCGGGACUUAACCCAACACUUCACAGCACGAGCUGACGACAGCCAUGCACCACCUGUGCAAGCUCUCGACUUAACGAGUCGUUCCGCUUUCACUUCACUACUUCUUGCAUGUCAAACCUAGGUAAGGUUCUUCGCGUAGCGUCGAAUUGAACCACAUGUUCCACCGCUUGUGCGGGCCCCCGUCAAUUCCUUUGAGUUUCACCCUUGCGGGCGUACUCCCCAGGUGGAGGACUUAAUGGGUUACCGUCGGCACCGAUCCCUAAUGGGACCAACACCUAGUCCUCAACGUUUACAGCGUGGACUAC